This 107-nucleotide small nucleolar RNA is filed under the name Dichanthelium oligosanthes. Its description in RNAcentral is "Plant small nucleolar RNA R71". It matches the Rfam family "Plant small nucleolar RNA R71". Rfam says of the family: R71 is a member of the C/D box family of snoRNAs containing the C (UGAUGA) and D (CUGA) box motifs. Multiple nearly identical copies of this snoRNA have been identified in Arabidopsis, and it is thought to function as a 2'-O-ribose methylation guide for 18S ribosomal RNA. The record is from Rfam by way of RNAcentral. Lineage: Eukaryota; Viridiplantae; Streptophyta; Magnoliopsida; Poales; Poaceae.
AUCCCAUGGUGAGGGCAAGCCAAGAGAUACUCUUGGAAGUGCUCCCACGCUUCACUAAUCAUCUCGUCUGAUGUCUGCUGGAAGUUCAAAAUUCUUCCACGAAGGGC